CUCCUAUCGGCUCCCGACAACGCCAUGAAGUCUGAACGGAUCCACUUUUCUCUGUGCCUCAUCUUUUCCCUGCCCUUCCAUACAUUUUCAGGGAUUCUCUUUCCCGAAUAUCUCAGAAAAGAACUGUGUAAAACCUCACACCUUGGAUGUAAGGCAAAAUCGGAGGGGUCCCCCGGGAGGGGACUGUGAAGGGGGAGGGGGUCUAGGCAGCCUGGGGACGUCGCUGCCCAUCAGUGAGAAUCAAGUCCUCCUCCGUCUCCCACCGUAUGGUUCUAGAGCAUCCGCUUGCAGGAGUUACGUUAAGUUCCGCCUACAGAUGGGAGACGGAGGAGACGGAGGGAGACAGAGGGGAGAAUCGACCCAAGUUUUUUCCAAGAGACUUCAGUGUAAGAGGAAUGGAGCUUAGGAUCAUUGGGUCCAUGUCAGGAGUGUCCAGGAAAUUCCUUUAGUGGUGCGUAUAUGUCUGGGCGAGAGCGAGUGUGAGUGUGUGUGUGCGUGUGUGUCACAUGAGUGUCCAUUCUAUUUAACACACUUGUACAGGACCGCUGUGUUCCUUUCUGCAGAUAGAGGGCAGCAGAGGCCAGCAUUCACAUGCUUAGGGCGCUGGCAUUCUACUUAUUUAAAUUAAUUUGCUCAAUUCAUAUUCUAGUGGACAUGUCUGAAGCACUCAGGGUAAAGAGACAAACUGCCCAUUGUGGCUAAGGGCUGUAGUUGAACUUCAAGAAUACUGACACUAACGCUUUCUUUGUCUCCAAUAUGGUCAUCAUGGCUCUCCCUCUAACCUCCUUGGUCUCAGUGAGAAAUGAAAUCUGCAACUACCCCCCAUUGUUCGGCACCUGCAAAUUAACUUUGACCCGAUAUUACUACAACACCUUGACAUUUUUGUGUGAGCCCUUCAUGUUCUCUGGCUGUGGAGGCAACAGAAACAACUUUAAACAAAAAUACAUCUGUGAAAAGAUGUGUAUUCUGAAAAGCAGGAAAAAGUAAGCUUAAUACGACAGAAGGAAGAAAUAAGGAAGAGGAAAACGUAUGCCCAAAUUAUUCUGAGUAAAUAAAUUGGACUAUUGCUAGAAGUUUUUUGAAUUC
This 1086-nucleotide long non-coding RNA is filed under the name Sus scrofa (pig). Its description in RNAcentral is "lncRNA (ENSSSCG00060034948.1)". The record is from RNAcentral. Lineage: Eukaryota; Metazoa; Chordata; Mammalia; Artiodactyla; Suidae.